RNAcentral lists this transfer RNA (74 nucleotides) under Escherichia coli. Its description in RNAcentral is "tRNA-Val". It matches the Rfam family "tRNA". From Rfam's summary of the family: Transfer RNA (tRNA) molecules are approximately 80 nucleotides in length. Their secondary structure includes four short double-helical elements and three loops (D, anti-codon, and T loops). The record is from RNAcentral. Lineage: Bacteria; Pseudomonadati; Pseudomonadota; Gammaproteobacteria; Enterobacterales; Enterobacteriaceae.
GUGGUUAGCUCAGUUGGGAGAGCACCUCCCUUACAAGGAGGGGGUCGGCGGUUCGAUCCCGUCAUCACCCACCA